This 222-nucleotide long non-coding RNA is filed under the name Gossypium barbadense (sea-island cotton). Its description in RNAcentral is "long non-coding RNA (GBAR_LNC019939)". Lineage: Eukaryota; Viridiplantae; Streptophyta; Magnoliopsida; Malvales; Malvaceae. The record is from RNAcentral.
UGAUUUGAUGCUGAGUAGGAAAUAAUUCGAACAGUACUUAGCUUGUGCAUAAAAAACAAAACCGCAUGCUGAGUAAAAUUCAGUGGUAUUUCUAUAAUCCGAAUAAUAUAAACUUGAUAUAAGUAUUUGAAAUGCAAAAUGCAACAAGUAACCUAUGUUCAUGUGUUUCAAUUCAAUAGUAUAAUUUUUGCUCAUUCCUUAUUCACAUCUACUAUGAUUUUC